AUUGAACGCUGGCGGCAUGCUUUACACAUGCAAGUCGAACGGUAACAGGUUAAGCUGACGAGUGGCGAACGGGUGAGUAAUGCAUCGGAACGUGCCCGGUCGUGGGGGAUAACGCAGCGAAAGCUGCGCUAAUACCGCAUACGAUCUGAGGAUGAAAGCGGGGGACCGUAAGGCCUCGCGCGAUCGGAGCGGCCGAUGUCAGAUUAGGUAGUUGGUGGGGUAAAGGCUCACCAAGCCAACGAUCUGUAGCUGGUCUGAGAGGACGACCAGCCACACUGGGACUGAGACACGGCCCAGAAUCCUACGGGAGGCAGCAGUGGGGAAUUUUGGACAAUGGGCGAAAGCCUGAUCUAGCAAUGCCGCGUGCAGGAAGAAGGCCUUCGGGUUGUAAACUGCUUUUGUACGGAGCGAAAAGGUCUCCUCUAAUACAGGGGGCUCAUGACGGUACCGUAAGAAUAAGCACCGGCUAACUACGUGCCAGCCGCCGCCGUAA
RNAcentral lists this ribosomal RNA (493 nucleotides) under uncultured bacterium. Its description in RNAcentral is "partial 16S ribosomal RNA". It matches the Rfam family "Bacterial small subunit ribosomal RNA", at positions 30 to 523 of the family's 1533-position model. The record is from RNAcentral.